RNAcentral lists this ribosomal RNA (433 nucleotides) under uncultured bacterium. RNAcentral's name for it is "partial 16S ribosomal RNA". It matches the Rfam family "Bacterial small subunit ribosomal RNA", at positions 29 to 507 of the family's 1533-position model. The record is from RNAcentral.
AGCGAACGCUGGCGGCAGGCCUAACACAUGCAAGUCGAACGAACUCUUCGGAGUUAGUGGCGGACGGGUGAGUAACACGUGGGGACGUGCCUUUUGGUUCGGAAUAACUCAGGGAAACUUGUGCUAAUACCGAAUGUGCCCUUCGGGGGAAAGAUUUAUCGCCAUUAGAGCGGCCCGCGUCUGAUUAGCUAGUUGGUGAGGUAACGGCUCACCAAGGCGACGAUCAGUAGCUGGUCUGAGAGGAUGACCAGCCACACUGGGACUGAGACACGGCCCAGACCCCUACGGGAGGCAGCAGUGGGGAAUCUUGCGCAAUGGGCGAAAGCCUGACGCAGCCAUGCCGCGUGAAUGAUGAAGGUCUUAGGAUUGUAAAAUUCUUUCACCGGGGACGAUAAUGACGGUACCCGGAGAAGAAGCCCCGGCUAACUUCGUG